Molecule: ribosomal RNA, 487 nt
Filed under: uncultured bacterium
Lineage: Bacteria
Description: bacterial SSU rRNA
Rfam family: Bacterial small subunit ribosomal RNA
Source: RNAcentral
AAUCAACGCUGGCGGCGUGCCUCAGACAUGCAAGUCGAACGAUUAAAGCUCCCUUCGGGGAGUGCAUAAAGUGGCGCACGGGUGAGUAACACGUAAGUAAUCUACCCUCGAGUGGGGAAUAACAAUCGGAAACGGUUGCUAAUACCGCAUAAUGCAGCGGCAUCGCAGGAUGACAGUUGUUAAAGGAGUAAUUCGCUUGAGGAGGAGCUUGCGGCAGAUUAGCUAGUUGGUAAGGUAACGGCUUACCAAGGCUACGAUCUGUAUCCGGUCUAAGAGGACGGUCGGACACACUGACACUGAAUAACGGGUCAGACUCCUACGGGAGGCAGCAGUCGGGAAUUUUGGGCAAUGGGCGAAAGCCUGACCCAGCAACGCCGCGUGAAGGAUGAAGUAUUCGGGUUGUAAACCUCUUUCAGCUCCGACGAAGCGAGAGUGACGGUAGGAGCAGAAGAAGCACCGGCCAACUACGUGCCAGCCGCCGCCGUAA